UUGAACGCUGGCGGCAUGCCUUACACAUGCAAGUCGAACGGUAACAGGCCUUCGGGUGCUGACGAGUGGCGAACGGGUGAGUAAUGCAUCGGAACGUACCCAGAGGUGGGGGAUAACGCAGCGAAAGCUGUGCUAAUACCGCAUGUGAACUGAGGAUGAAAGCGGGGGACCGAGCAGCAAUGUUUGGCCUCGCGCCUUUGGAGCGGCCGAUGUCGGAUUAGCUAGUUGGUGGUGUAAAGGCCUACCAAGGCGACGAUCCGUAGCUGGUCUGAGAGGACGACCAGCCACACUGGGACUGAGACACGGCCCAGACUCCUACGGGAGGCAGCAGUGGGGAAUUUUGGACAAUGGGCGCAAGCCUGAUCCAGCAAUGCCGCGUGCGGGAAGAAGGCCUUCGGGUUGUAAACCGCUUUUGGCAGGAACGAAACGGUGUCCGCUAAUACCGGGCGCUAAUGACGGUACCUGCAGAAUAAGCACCGGCUAACUACGUG
This 491-nucleotide ribosomal RNA is filed under the name uncultured bacterium. RNAcentral's name for it is "partial 16S ribosomal RNA". It matches the Rfam family "Bacterial small subunit ribosomal RNA", at positions 29 to 507 of the family's 1533-position model. The record is from RNAcentral.